RNAcentral lists this ribosomal RNA (486 nucleotides) under uncultured microorganism. RNAcentral describes it as "bacterial SSU rRNA". It matches the Rfam family "Bacterial small subunit ribosomal RNA", at positions 9 to 517 of the family's 1533-position model. The record is from RNAcentral.
GAGUUUGAUCUUGGCUCAGAACGAACGCUGGCGGCGUGGAUAAGACAUGCAAGUCGAACGGGAGAAUUGCUAGCUUGCUAAUAAUUCUCUAGUGGCGCACGGGUGAGUAACACGUGAGUAACCUGCCCCCGAGAGCGGGAUAGCCCUGGGAAACUGGGAUUAAUACCGCAUAGUAUCGAAAGAUUAAAGCAGCAAUGCGCUUGGGGAUGGGCUCGCGGCCUAUUAGUUAGUUGGUGAGGUAACGGCUCACCAAGGCGAUGACGGGUAGCCGGUCUGAGAGGAUGUCCGGCCACACUGGAACUGAGACACGGUCCAGACACCUACGGGUGGCAGCAGUCGAGAAUCAUUCACAAUGGGGGAAACCCUGAUGGUGCGACGCCGCGUGGGGGAAUGAAGGUCUUCGGAUUGUAAACCCCUGUCAUGUGGGAGCAAAUUAAAAGAUAGUACCACAAGAGGAAGAGACGGCUAACUCUGUGACAGCAGCCG